RNAcentral lists this ribosomal RNA (460 nucleotides) under uncultured bacterium. RNAcentral describes it as "partial 16S ribosomal RNA". It matches the Rfam family "Bacterial small subunit ribosomal RNA", at positions 338 to 795 of the family's 1533-position model. The record is from RNAcentral.
CCUACGGGUGGCAGCAGUGAGGAAUAUUGGUCAAUGGGCGCGAGCCUGAACCAGCCAAGUAGCGUGAAGGAUGACUGCCCUACGGGCUGUAAACUUCUUUUAUAAAGGAAUAAAGUGCGGCACGUGUGCCUUUUUGUAUGUACUUUAUGAAUAAGGAUCGGCCAACUCCGUGCCAGCAGCCGCGGUAAUCCGGAGGUUCCGAGCGUUAUCCGGAUUUAUUGGGUGUAAAGGGGGCGUAGAUGGGUUGUUAAGUCAGUUGUGAAAGUUUGCGGCUCAACCGUAAAAUUGCAAUUGAUACUGGCAGGCUGGAGUGCAGUUGAGGUAGGCGGAAUUCGUGGUGUAGCGGUGAAAUGCUUAGAUAUCACGAAGAACUCCGAUUGCGAAGGCAGCUUGCUAAACUGCAACUGACAUUGAGGCUCGAAAGUGUGGGUAGCAAACAGGAUUAGAUACCCUUGUAGUC